Grus americana (Whooping crane) is the source of this 742-nucleotide long non-coding RNA. RefSeq lists it as uncharacterized. NCBI's taxonomy places the organism in Eukaryota, Metazoa, Chordata, Aves, Gruiformes, Gruidae. The transcript has 4 exons. The record is from RefSeq and is a predicted model, not a curated record.
GGCGGAGGACAGCCGAGCGACCGGAGUGACAGCAAAGGAAAGGCGGAGAGCAGGAGAAAGAAGCGUCUGCGCUGGCAAGCUCUCCCGGCAGCGCCGAGAGCCAGAGCUGCGGCCGCGCUGAGGACGUGGUUGCCCGUCCCUCCCUUGGGGAUGCCGUCGACUGCACCCGCCUCGCCUGUGCCUGGCCUGGCUCGCCUCGUGGCGUGGGGGCGAAAAGGGACAGGCGGCGGAGCGCUUACCGGCCGUGGACAGGAGCUGCCCUAAGGGAAGCUGGAAUGGCCAGAGAAAGGUGAAGAAGAAGAAGAAGAAGAGAUGGAAGGCUCUCCGGCCGGCAGCUGCCUCCCGCUGCAGGCAAGAGAGCGCCUGCCUCGCCGGGCGGAGGACAGCCGAGCGACCGGAGUGACAGCAAAGGAAAGGCGGAGAGCAGGAGAAAGAAGCGUCUGCGCUGGCAAGCUCUCCCGGCAGCGCCGAGAGCCAGAGCUGCGGCCGCGCUGAGGACGUGGUUGCCCGUCCCUCCCUUGGGGAUGCCGUCGACUGCACCCGCCUCGCCUGUGCCUGGCCUGGCUCGCCUCGUGGCGUGGGGGCGAAAAGGGACAGGCGGCGGAGCGCUUACCGGCCGUGGACAGGAGCUGCCCUAAGGGAAGCUGGAAUGGCCAGAGAAAGGUGAAGAAGAAGAAGAAAGAAGAGAUGGAAGGCUCUCCGGCCGGCAGCUGCCUCCCGCUGCAGGCAAGAGAGCGCCUGC